Raphanus sativus (radish) is the source of this 259-nucleotide long non-coding RNA. RefSeq lists it as uncharacterized. The transcript has 3 exons. Lineage: Eukaryota; Viridiplantae; Streptophyta; Magnoliopsida; Brassicales; Brassicaceae. The record is from RefSeq and is a predicted model, not a curated record.
UUUAACGUCUUCUUCUUAACUCCAGAGGCGCAUAACUCUUUCUUCAUACUGAUUCUCAGAGGAGACCACUCUAGCGCUACAGGCAGAGAUCAACACUCUAGUUUUCAUGGAAAACAAUGUGAUUAAAGGUUACCGUUUUAGAUUGGAACAAUGCCAGAUCCAUGACAAGUACUUUCAGCUGGUUUUAUGGAAUAGUGCUUAAGACCAAGAAACACGAUUAUGGACUACAAACAGAAGACAAGAAGACAGUAGUAGAUGA